GAUGAACGCUGGCGGCGUGCUUAACACAUGCAAGUCGAACGGAAAGGCCCAAGCUUGCUUGGGUACUCGAGUGGCGAACGGGUGAGUAACACGUGGGUGAUCUGCCCUGCACUUCGGGAUAAGCCUGGGAAACUGGGUCUAAUACCGGAUAGGACCACUUCGUAGUUGUUGUGGUGGAAAGGUUUUUCGGUGUGGGGUGAGCUCGCGGCCUAUCAGCUCGUCGGUGGGUUAUUGGCCUACCAAGGCGUCGCCGGGUAGCCGGCCUGAGAGGGUGUACGGCCACAUUGGUACUGAGAGACGGACCAGACUCCUACGGGAGGCAGCAGUGGGGAAUAUUGCGCAAUGGGCGGAAGCCUGAUGCAGCGACGCCGCGUGGAGGAUGACGGACUUGGGGUUGUAAACUCCUUUCGCCAAAGACGAAUUUAGGACGGUAUUUGGAGAGGAAGCACCGGCUAACUACGUG
This 463-nucleotide ribosomal RNA is filed under the name uncultured bacterium. Its description in RNAcentral is "partial 16S ribosomal RNA". It matches the Rfam family "Bacterial small subunit ribosomal RNA", at positions 28 to 507 of the family's 1533-position model. The record is from RNAcentral.